UACAGAGGUCUCAAGCGUUACGCGGAUUCACUGGGCUUAAAGGGUGCGUAGGCGGCGCGGCAAGUGCCUUGUGAAAUCCCACCGCUCAACGGUGGAAUCGCUCGGUAGACUGCCGUGCUUGAGGUCGGUAGGGGUCGCUGGAACUCUAGGUGGAGCGGUGAAAUGCGUAGAUAUCUAGAGGAACGCCAAAGGUGAAGACAAGCGACUGGGCCGAUUCUGACGCUGAGGCACGAAAGCGUGGGUAGCGAACGGG
Molecule: unclassified non-coding RNA, 253 nt
Filed under: uncultured Phycisphaeraceae bacterium
Lineage: Bacteria; Pseudomonadati; Planctomycetota; Phycisphaerae; Phycisphaerales; Phycisphaeraceae
Description: contains 16S-23S intergenic spacer region
Rfam family: Bacterial small subunit ribosomal RNA
Source: RNAcentral